UCUGGUACAUGGAGUACUCACACCGAAU
This 28-nucleotide non-coding RNA is filed under the name Homo sapiens (human). Lineage: Eukaryota; Metazoa; Chordata; Mammalia; Primates; Hominidae. The record is from RNAcentral.